Molecule: long non-coding RNA, 532 nt
Organism: Xenopus laevis (African clawed frog)
Lineage: Eukaryota; Metazoa; Chordata; Amphibia; Anura; Pipidae
Exons: 2
Source: RefSeq, a predicted model, not a curated record
GUUAUGCCUAUUUUAGUGUAUGAUACAUGUAGAGGGAUAUCAUUUUAUCUUCUGUGUUUUGUUUGGGUGUAAGAUUGGGUUCUUUUGGAGGUUUGAUUACUAAUACAUGAACAUCAAAAAUGUCCCAUAAAUAAUAACCUUUAUACAUCCUAACCACUAAUUAAGCCUUUUUUGGUUUUUUUUGUUUAGAAAAAUGCACUUUGCACAAUGGAGUGGGCAGGAAUGUUUGGGCUUCUCUGCUAUAUGCCUACAUAUGCCUUGGAAAUUAAGAAACUGACUCUAAAACGCCCACAAAACAUAAAAGACGACUGGAUAUGCAAGCGGGAAGGAUCUACAUCUGAUGAAGAGGCCCCUGAAGAACAAACACCAGUUAUCUACGUGCACAAGAUAACGUUGUUACCUUCCAAUCAAAUCACUGGGUUCAGCGAUCCCGUUAAUAUACAAGGAACUUGUCAAAUAACAGUAUUAAAAUAGCAACUGGAAGAAUACUACGGAAACCGAUCAUUUAAUAAAAAUUAACUUGAAUAUUGUA